Molecule: ribosomal RNA, 497 nt
Filed under: uncultured bacterium
Lineage: Bacteria
Description: partial 16S ribosomal RNA
Rfam family: Bacterial small subunit ribosomal RNA
Source: RNAcentral
GACGAACGCUGGCGGCGUGCCUAAUACAUGCAAGUUGAGCGCUGAAGGUUGGUACUUGUACCAACUGGAUGAGCAGCGAACGGGUGAGUAACGCGUGGGGAAUCUGCCUUUGAGCGGGGGACAACAUUGGGAAACGAAUGCUAAUACCGCAUAAAAACUUUAAACACAAGUUUUAAGUUUGAAAGAUGCAAUUGCAUCACUCAAAGAUGAUCCCGCGUUGUAUUAGCUAGUUGGUGAGGUAAAGGCUCACCAAGGCGAUGAUACAUAGCCGACCUGAGAGGGUGAUCGGCCACAUUGGGACUGAGACACGGCCCAAACUCCUACGGGAGGCAGCAGUAGGGAAUCUUCGGCAAUGGACGAAAGUCUGACCGAGCAACGCCGCGUGAGUGAAGAAGGUUUUCGGAUCGUAAAACUCUGUUGGUAGAGAAGAACGUUGGUGAGAGUGGAAAGCUCAUCAAGUGACGGUAACUACCCAGAAAGGGACGGCUAACUACGUG